Zingiber officinale is the source of this 829-nucleotide long non-coding RNA. RefSeq lists it as uncharacterized. The record is from RefSeq and is a predicted model, not a curated record. NCBI's taxonomy places the organism in Eukaryota, Viridiplantae, Streptophyta, Magnoliopsida, Zingiberales, Zingiberaceae. The transcript has 5 exons.
UUUGACCGUGGGGUUGAAGUGGUGGCAUCGAAGGAGCUCGGCGUACACGAAUGCUCUAGUCAUCGAGCUGCUAUCCGUCCAUGGCGGCCGCCGUCCUCCCCUCGUUGUCGCCCUUCGUCCUCUCACCUCCUCUCGCUCGCUUCGCCCGGUCUCGCUUCUACAACCCCCGCCUUCGCACCCCCAUCAGGCCACUCUCCGCUUCCCCUCUAUCCUCUUUCUCCUCGCCCUCGGCCUCCUCAUCCCUUUCUCCCCCUCCUACUGCCACCGAAACCGUAGCUUCCAGUCCUCCCUUGGACCCUCCCUCCUCUUCUCGGCUUCUAUGGGUCCCCAGAACGGGCUAUUGCGGCGAGUUAGGUACCAAUGACGUCGGCAAACGAGUCAGGCUCUGUGUCUGGGUAGCUCUCCACCGGAUUCACGGCGGCCUCACAUUCUUCAACCUCAGAGACAGCUCUGGAAUCGUCCAGGUUACCACGCUUCCUAAUGAUUAUCCGGAAGCUUAUUUAACUGCAAACAAGAUGAGAGUAGAGUAUGUGGUUGCUGUAGAGGGACAGUGAGGUCUCGGCCACUGGAGUCUGUGAACAAGAAGAUGCAGAAUGGGGAUAUAGAGGUUGCUGCAGAGCAUAUCAUUGGAUUAUUUCCUGUAAAUCGUGCAUUGCCUUUUCCAGUUACCAUUUCAGACAAUGUAAAGGAUACUAUAACCGAAGAAAUCAGAUUAAGGUGCACGUGAUUAUCUUGUGCAUGUAAUUAUCUUGUGCCAUCGCAUAUUCAGGACUCUGAUUCGAGACGGGCGUCUCGACUUGGAUUUGCUAGAUUGGACCUUUCUAUUUUU